AUUCAGUAUUGAUUGCAGAAGCUUAACCAGUAAUCCCCCAAUGAAUGAUUCCUCAGUAUUCCAGCUUAACUGGCUUGAAAAUAGGCUAUCCAAGAGCACCUUCAGGUCAGCUACCUUGGCUUCUAUGGAUCAAACUUUCCCCCUGAAACCAGGAACUUUGCACUGAACACAUAUCCAUGACUUCUGUCCAGUGCAAGAGAACACAGGCAGAGGAGAUGGGUGGAAGACACAAAGAUAAUAAGAAACUGAUGUAUACCUUGGUGCACCACAUUUUUUAAUUUCUAGUUUGCUGAAGUCUGAAAAUAUCUUAAAACUGGAAGUAAAAGAUGGCCACGUUUUAAAAGCCUCAUGUUAGUUAAAUAAAGAAAUAAGAAUAAAUUGUACCUGGCAAACCAAUGUUUUCCCUAGGAUCUGAAAAAAAUACUUAAUAACUAACAAUUCCUAUUCCACAGCA
This is a long non-coding RNA of Rhineura floridana, 454 nucleotides long. RefSeq lists it as uncharacterized. Lineage: Eukaryota; Metazoa; Chordata; Lepidosauria; Squamata; Rhineuridae. The record is from RefSeq and is a predicted model, not a curated record. The transcript has 3 exons.